CUGAAGGAAUCAGAGUGAAUAAAACUGUGGCCGUUCACACACUGGAUCCACAACACAUGGGCCAGAACGGUGUGCAGCGAGUGGAGGUCGAGGCUGCAGACCUCAGUGACCAAGUCCCUGACACAGAGUCAGAAA
Molecule: long non-coding RNA, 135 nt
Organism: Myotis brandtii (Brandt's bat)
Lineage: Eukaryota; Metazoa; Chordata; Mammalia; Chiroptera; Vespertilionidae
Exons: 2
Source: RefSeq, a predicted model, not a curated record